AAUAAGUUAGGAUAAAGUUUUUAGAGUCUAAUGGGUUCAUAUUCCAUGGGUUUUCUUAUUAG
RNAcentral lists this transfer RNA (62 nucleotides) under Metastrongylus pudendotectus. RNAcentral's name for it is "tRNA-Met". Lineage: Eukaryota; Metazoa; Nematoda; Chromadorea; Rhabditida; Metastrongylidae. The record is from RNAcentral.